Molecule: long non-coding RNA, 640 nt
Organism: Homo sapiens (human)
Lineage: Eukaryota; Metazoa; Chordata; Mammalia; Primates; Hominidae
Source: Ensembl
GAAGAGUACCAGAAGAGUCUGCCAGAGCAGUACCAUCUGGGUCUGGAUCAAAAACGCAGAAAAUACGUGGUUGGAGAGCUUAUCGGGAAUUCUGCCGAUUUCACGACUAUGCAGUGAGGUGCUGGGGCUGAUGGUGAUGAUCUGAAGCAUGCUCAGGAGAGAGGUGGUGCAGAUCAAGAGGCCCCUCAUUACCUUGUAUAUGUAGAACACAGCCUUACAUCUGAAGUUAUUCUGAAAAUUCUGUGACUCAAACACGUCUAGAGACAAUAACUCUGCUGCCAUGACUAGCAUCACUAUGUAGACAGAAACCAAGUGACAGAUGAUCAGGUCAUGGUUUUUUAGGCUUGUGAUCCUUAAAGAAUGUAAAAAUGUGCCAGAGAAGAAGAAAGAUGUUGGCUGAGAUUCCAAUGCCAGCUUGAAAACAAAAGGCCUUUUGAAAGAUAACAUGUGAAAUGUGUGUUCAUCCUAAUGACAUAGAAGAAACAUUUUGAAGACCUGAAAAAAGUAGAUCUGUGUCAUCAAUGUCCUUUUGUCAGUGUUCAAAAUUAUUACCAUUAUUAUUUUUAUUUUACUCUCAUUUCUUGAUUAACCCCAUCUUAUAUAAAUUCUUGAUAAUGUAUCUCCUAUACUAUUUCCUAAA